RNAcentral lists this ribosomal RNA (253 nucleotides) under uncultured bacterium. RNAcentral's name for it is "partial 16S ribosomal RNA". It matches the Rfam family "Bacterial small subunit ribosomal RNA", at positions 524 to 776 of the family's 1533-position model. The record is from RNAcentral.
UACGGAGGGCGCAAGCGUUGUUCGGAAUUACUGGGCGUAAAGCGCGUGUAGGCGGCGUGUUAAGUCGACCGUGAAAGCCCAUGGCUCAACCAUGGAAGUGCAGUCGAAACUGGCGCGCUGGAGUCCCGGAGAGGGUGGUGGAAUUCCCAGUGUAGAGGUGAAAUUCGUAGAUAUUGGGAGGAACACCGGUGGCGAAGGCGACCACCUGGACGGGUACUGACGCUGAGACGCGACAGCGUGGGGAGCAAACAGG